Molecule: ribosomal RNA, 1628 nt
Filed under: Salmonella enterica
Lineage: Bacteria; Pseudomonadati; Pseudomonadota; Gammaproteobacteria; Enterobacterales; Enterobacteriaceae
Also listed under: 1 other name
Description: partial 23S ribosomal RNA
Rfam family: Bacterial large subunit ribosomal RNA
Source: RNAcentral
CUCGUGAAUUCAUCUCCGGGGGUAGAGCACUGUUUCGGCUAGGGGGCCAUCCCGGCUUACCAACCCGAUGCAAACUGCGAAUACCGGAGAAUGUUAUCACGGGAGACACACGGCGGGUGCUAACGUCCGUCGUGAAGAGGGAAACAACCCAGACCGCCAGCUAAGGUCCCAAAGUCAUGGUUAAGUGGGAAACGAUGUGGGAAGGCCCAGACAGCCAGGAUGUUGGCUUAGAAGCAGCCAUCAUUUAAAGAAAGCGUAAUAGCUCACUGGUCGAGUCGGCCUGCGCGGAAGAUGUAACGGGGCUAAACCAUGCACCGAAGCUGCGGCAGCGAACGUAUCACCCAAGACAACUUUACGGAGUUGACGAUUGACGGAGCGAAGCGACGUCAAAGCGUUCAUUAAAGUCGAGUUGGCUUAGGGAUACGUUCGUUGGGUAGGGGAGCGUUCUGUAAGCCUGUGAAGGUGUGUCGUGAGGCAUGCUGGAGGUAUCAGAAGUGCGAAUGCUGACAUAAGUAACGAUAAAGCGGGUGAAAAGCCCGCUCGCCGGAAGACCAAGGGUUCCUGUCCAACGUUAAUCGGGGCAGGGUGAGUCGACCCCUAAGGCGAGGCCGAAAGGCGUAGUCGAUGGGAAACGGGUUAAUAUUCCCGUACUUGGUGUUACUGCGAAGGGGGGACGGAGAAGGCUAUGUUGGCCGGGCGACGGUUGUCCCGGUUUAAGCGUGUAGGUGUGUGUUCCAGGUAAAUCCGGUUCACUUUAACACUGAGGCGUGACGACGAGGCACUACGGUGCUGAAGCAACAAAUGCCCUGCUUCCAGGAAAAGCCUCUAAGCAUCAGGUAACAUCAAAUCGUACCCCAAACCGACACAGGUGGUCAGGUAGAGAAUACCAAGGCGCUUGAGAGAACUCGGGUGAAGGAACUAGGCAAAAUGGUGCCGUAACUUCGGGAGAAGGCACGCUGACACGUAGGUGAAGUGAUUUACUCAUGGAGCUGAAGUCAGUCGAAGAUACCAGCUGGCUGCAACUGUUUAUUAAAAACACAGCACUGUGCAAACACGAAAGUGGACGUAUACGGUGUGACGCCUGCCCGGUGCCGGAAGGUUAAUUGAUGGGGUCAGCGCAAGCGAAGCUCCUGAUCGAAGCCCCGGUAAACGGCGGCCGUAACUAUAACGGUCCUAAGGUAGCGAAAUUCCUUGUCGGGUAAGUUCCGACCUGCACGAAUGGCGUAAUGAUGGCCAGGCUGUCUCCACCCGAGACUCAGUGAAAUUGAACUCGCUGUGAAGAUGCAGUGUACCCGCGGCAAGACGGAAAGACCCCGUGAACCUUUACUAUAGCUUGACACUGAACAUUGAGCCUUGAUGUGUAGGAUAGGUGGGAGGCUUUGAAGUGUGGACGCCAGUCUGCAUGGAGCCGACCUUGAAAUACCACCCUUUAAUGUUUGAUGUUCUAACGUGGACCCGUAAUCCGGGUUGCGGACAGUGUCUGGUGGGUAGUUUGACUGGGGCGGUCUCCUCCUAAAGAGUAACGGAGGAGCACGAAGGUUGGCUAAUCCUGGUCGGACAUCAGGAGGUUAGUGCAAUGGCAUAAGCCAGCUUGACUGCGAGCGUGACGGCGCGAGCAGGUGCGAAAG